AGCUCUUGACAUGUCUCGUAUGGAGGCCGGAGACGGUUUCCUUCAGUUCGGCUGGCGAGAACACAGGUGCUGCAUGGCUGUCGUCAGCUCGUGUCGUGAGAUGUUGGGUUAAGUCCCGCAACGAGCGCAACCCUCGCCCUUAGUUGCCAUCAUUCAGUUGGGCACUCUAGGGGGACUGCCGGUGAUAAGCCGAGAGGAAGGUGGGGAUGACGUCAAGUCCUCAUGGCCCUUACGGGCUGGGCUACACACGUGCUACAAUGGCGGUGACAAUGGGAUGCUGAGGGGCGACCCCGAGCAAAUCUCAAAAAGCCGUCUCAGUUCGGAUUGCACUCUGCAACUCGAGUGCAUGAAGGUGGAAUCGCUAGUAAUCGUAGAUCAGAACGCUACGGUGAAUACGUUCCCGGGCC
Molecule: ribosomal RNA, 407 nt
Filed under: uncultured bacterium
Lineage: Bacteria
Description: bacterial SSU rRNA
Rfam family: Bacterial small subunit ribosomal RNA
Source: RNAcentral